Non-coding RNA from Pelobates cultripes (western spadefoot toad), 203 nucleotides. The record is from the annotation of a GenBank genome assembly. NCBI's taxonomy places the organism in Eukaryota, Metazoa, Chordata, Amphibia, Anura, Pelobatidae.
GGGUUAAAUGUUAAGUGGCUAUGUCAGUGUCCACCCAUUAAUAUUAUUAAUUGGCUCAGAGAUUUGAGUGACUAGUGAGGCACCCUCCCAUCAUGGGAUGUCGUCGCCAUUGCUCUUUAGCACGAGGCUUACUCGGUGGGAAGGGGGGGCUUGGGCAUCAUUUUACGUAGUUAGUGAUGUCAGUCUCGUGGUCUGUUCCAAGG